Molecule: ribosomal RNA, 496 nt
Filed under: uncultured bacterium
Lineage: Bacteria
Description: partial 16S ribosomal RNA
Rfam family: Bacterial small subunit ribosomal RNA
Source: RNAcentral
GAUGAACGCUGGCGGCGUGCCUAAUACAUGCAAGUCGAGCGAACAGACGAGGAGCUUGCUCCUCUGACGUUAGCGGCGGACGGGUGAGUAACACGUGGAUAACCUACCUAUAAGACUGGGAUAACUUCGGGAAACCGGAGCUAAUACCGGAUAAUAUAUUGAACCGCAUGGUUCAAUAGUGAAAGACGGUUUUGCUGUCACCUAUAGAUGGAUCCGCGCCGCAUUAGCUAGUUGGUAAGGUAACGGCUUACCAAGGCAACGAUGCGUAGCCGACCUGAGAGGGUGAUCGGCCACACUGGAACUGAGACACGGUCCAGACUCCUACGGGAGGCAGCAGUAGGGAAUCUUCCGCAAUGGGCGAAAGCCUGACGGAGCAACGCCGCGUGAGUGAUGAAGGUCUUCGGAUCGUAAAACUCUGUUAUUAGGGAAGAACAAAUGUGUAAGUAACGAUGCACGUCUUGACGGUACCUAAUCAGAAAGCCACGGCUAACUACGU